UACAGAGGUCUCAAGCGUUGUUCGGAUUCAUUGGGCGUAAAGGGUGCGUAGGUGGCGCUGUAAGUCGGGUGUGAAAUUUCGGAGCUUAACUCCGAAACUGCAUUCGAUACUGCGGUGCUUGAGGACUGGAGAGGAGACUGGAAUUUAUGGUGUAGCAGUGAAAUGCGUAGAGAUCAUAAGGAAGACCAGUGGCGAAGGCGGGUCUCUGGACAGUUCCUGACACUGAGGCACGAAGGCCAGGGGAGCAAACGGG
RNAcentral lists this ribosomal RNA (253 nucleotides) under uncultured bacterium. Its description in RNAcentral is "partial 16S ribosomal RNA". It matches the Rfam family "Bacterial small subunit ribosomal RNA", at positions 524 to 776 of the family's 1533-position model. The record is from RNAcentral.